UCGACCGGACCUCGACCGGCUCGU
RNAcentral lists this non-coding RNA (24 nucleotides) under Oryctolagus cuniculus (rabbit). Lineage: Eukaryota; Metazoa; Chordata; Mammalia; Lagomorpha; Leporidae. The record is from RNAcentral. RNAcentral also lists the same sequence under 1 other name.